RNAcentral lists this ribosomal RNA (137 nucleotides) under uncultured Arcicella sp. Its description in RNAcentral is "partial 16S ribosomal RNA". Lineage: Bacteria; Pseudomonadati; Bacteroidota; Cytophagia; Cytophagales; Flectobacillaceae. The record is from RNAcentral.
UACCGUCAAUGCCUCUCGCAAGAGUCGUUUCUUCCUGUAUAAAAGCAGUUUACAACGCAUAACGCCUUCAUCCUGCACGCGGCAUGGCUGGGUCAGACUUGCGUCCAUUGCCCAAUAUUCCCUACUGCUGCCUCCCG